GCCGGGCACGGUGGCACGUGCCUGUAGCCCCAGUUACUCGGGAGGCUGAGGUGGGAGGAUCACUUGAGCCCAGGAUUUCUGGGCUGUAGUGUGUUAUGCCGAUCGGGUGUCCGCACUAAGUUUGGCAUCAAUAUAGUGACCUUCCGGGAGCUGGGGACCACCAGGUUGGAUGAACCGGCCCAGGUCAGAAACGGAGCAGGUCAAAACUCCUGUACUGAUCAGUAGUGGGAUCGCACCUGUGAAUAGCCACUGCACUCCAGCCUAGGCAACAUAGCGAGACCCCAUCUCU
Molecule: signal recognition particle RNA, 289 nt
Filed under: Aotus nancymaae (Ma's night monkey)
Lineage: Eukaryota; Metazoa; Chordata; Mammalia; Primates; Aotidae
Description: Metazoan signal recognition particle RNA (ENSANAG00000006899.1)
Rfam family: Metazoan signal recognition particle RNA
About the family: The signal recognition particle (SRP) is a universally conserved ribonucleoprotein. It is involved in the co-translational targeting of proteins to membranes.
Source: RNAcentral